AUGAACGCUGGCGGCGUGCCUAAUACAUGCAAGUCGAGCGAACGGACGAGAAGCUUGCUUCUCUGAUGUUAGCGGCGGACGGGUGAGUAACACGUGGAUAACCUACCUAUAAGACUGGGAUAACUUCGGGAAACCGGAGCUAAUACCGGAUAAUAUUUUGAACCGCAUGGUUCAAAAGUAAAAGACGGUCUUGCUGUCACUUAUAGAUGGAUCCGCGCUGCAUUAGCUAGUUGGUAAGGUAACGGCUUACCAAGGCAACGAUGCAUAGCCGACCUGAGAGGGUGAUCGGCCACACUGGAACUGAGACACGGUCCAGACUCCUACGGGAGGCAGCAGUAGGGAAUCUUCCGCAAUGGGCGAAAGCCUGACGGAGCAACGCCGCGUGAGUGACGAAGGUCUUCGGAUCGUAAAACUCUGUUAUUAGGGAAGAACAUAUGUGUAAGUAACUGUGCACAUCUUGACGGUACCUAAUCAGAAAGCCACGGCUAACUACGUG
RNAcentral lists this ribosomal RNA (496 nucleotides) under uncultured bacterium. RNAcentral describes it as "partial 16S ribosomal RNA". It matches the Rfam family "Bacterial small subunit ribosomal RNA", at positions 29 to 507 of the family's 1533-position model. The record is from RNAcentral.